UGGGGAAUCUUGGACAAUGGGGGCAACCCUGAUCCAGCCAUGCCGCGUGAGUGAUGAAGGCCUUAGGGUCGUAAACUUCUGUCAGAUGGGAAGAAGGUUUGUAGGUUAAGAGCUAGUGAACUUGACGGUACCAUCAGAGGAAGUCCCGGCUAACUCCGUGCCAGCAGCCGCGGUAAUACGGAGGGGACAAGCGUUAUUCGGAUUUAUUGGGCGUAAAGCGCGCGUAGGCGGCUGACUAAGUCGGGGUGUGAAAGCCCCGGGCUCAACCUGGGAACUGCAUUCGAUACUGGUCAGCUGGAGUAUGGGAGAGGAUAGUGGAAUUUCCGGUGUAGCGGUGAAAUGCGUAGAGAUCGGAAGGAACAUCAGUGGCGAAGGCGACUGUCUGGCCC
This 389-nucleotide ribosomal RNA is filed under the name uncultured bacterium. RNAcentral's name for it is "bacterial SSU rRNA". It matches the Rfam family "Bacterial small subunit ribosomal RNA", at positions 355 to 735 of the family's 1533-position model. The record is from RNAcentral.